UGGGGAAUAUUGCACAAUGGGCGAAAGCCUGAUGCAGCAACGCCGCGUGAGUGAUGAAGGCCUUCGGGUUGUAAAGCUCUGUCUUUUGGGACGAUAAUGACGGUACCAAAGGAGGAAGCCACGGCUAACUACGUGCCAGCAGCCGCGGUAAUACGUAGGUGGCAAGCGUUGUCCGGAUUUACUGGGCGUAAAGGAUGCGUAGGCGGAUUUUUAAGUGAGAUGUGAAAUACCCGGGCUUAACUUGGGUGCUGCAUUUCAAACUGGGAAUCUAGAGUGCGGGAGAGGAGAAUGGAAUUCCUAGUGUAGCGGUGAAAUGCGUAGAGAUUAGGAAGAACACCAGUGGCGAAGGCGAUUCUCUGGACCGUAACUGACGCCUGAGGCAUGAAAGCGUGGGUAGCAAACAGGAUUAGAUACCCUGGUAGUCCACGCCGUAAACGAUGAGUACUAGGUGUAGGAGGUAUCGACCCCUUCUGUGCCGCAGUUAACACAAUAAGUACUCCGCCUGGGAAGUACGAUCGCAAGAUUAAAACUCAAAUGAAUUGACGGGGUC
RNAcentral lists this ribosomal RNA (550 nucleotides) under uncultured bacterium. RNAcentral's name for it is "partial 16S ribosomal RNA". It matches the Rfam family "Bacterial small subunit ribosomal RNA", at positions 355 to 920 of the family's 1533-position model. The record is from RNAcentral.